RNAcentral lists this microRNA (22 nucleotides) under Mus musculus (house mouse). RNAcentral's name for it is "mmu-miR-3091-3p". Lineage: Eukaryota; Metazoa; Chordata; Mammalia; Rodentia; Muridae. The record is from miRBase by way of RNAcentral.
CGGGCCUGACCAGUCUCAAGAC